CUUUGUCCUCCUCCUUCUCCCUCGUCCCACUGGACGUCUUCCUCCAGGAUCACAUGACAACGGGACAAAAUGCUCCUCAGCGCUCGCUCGGCCCCCAGCAGGAGGCUGCAAUCCGGAUGCUCUUUAACGGUCCACUGCAGCAGGUUCUGGAGAAGGAAAAUAAUAAAGAAACAAGUAGCUUCCUGGCUGCAGUGUGGCACCUCGUCGAGCCGCUGACUCACCUGAAUGUGGCUCAGGUAUCCAUGGAUGCGAGAGACCGGCGCCAGCAGCAGUGGUUUAGUCUGUUGAACUCCAUCGAGAGGAAGGAUGCCAGGGUGGUCGUGUAUCCGAGGUACAUAUCCGAAAACGCUGUCUGGACGAGUCAAAGCAGUCGGUGAGCAGCACCUUUGAUUUUUUUUCUCCAGUGAAAUGGACACCCGGCGUUUCCUUUUAAAAGCGCACCAACUUACAUCGUUUUGUCCGAUGAGCUGCACCAGGAUGUCGCCAACCACAGAUUUCCAGUGCUCAGCAGUUAAUCGCUCCUGCAGGGUGUUUCUGAAGAGCAGAUGUCGCUGUAACAGCUGCUCCACAAACUUCAGAUAUGUCUGACUGAAUCACGACACAAAUAAAACAAGGAUUUUGAUUGCAAAUACAAGUUUAAGGCAAAGCCCAAAUAUUCAAAGCCUGGUUCAAAGAACGUGUGUAAGCAACCAGUAACGAUCUCUGCAGCUCAACUGUCUGAAGACUCUGCUUUUUCUGCACUUACUACAGCUCCAGGGUCAUCUGGUGGGCUUGUGGUGUCUUGUAUUUAUCGUACAGCUGGUUUAAGGUUGACACGUACUCCCACUCUGAAUGUAAAAGCUGCAUCGCCACCUGAUGUCGUGCAUCUGUACGAGAAAGAAGACGCGCCUCAAUGUUCAUUCUUCAGCAAAUAAUGUGACAGUUUCUGAACGGAAGUUGAAGCGAAGUGAUUUUCAUAUAAAUACAGAUAAUCUGUUUACUAUCCAUGUCUAAAACAGUAACAAAAGUAUUGCAAUAUGAAUAUAUUUAUAGCACCAUGAUUGAUGCAAAUGAUUCGUGCAUCUCCUGACUGCUGAACUCACAAAUCGAAAGAACUCGCUCAAGUCUUUGCUUCAAAUGUGGCCUUUGAAAACAUCUCGUGAGGCUCCUUCUCAUUCGGCUGCGUUCCCGGUGUGUUGCAGCGGCUCACCUGUGCCUUCGCUCAGCCCCGCUUUCAGGCCCUGCAGGAAACAGUGCAGGAGCAGCUUCCCUCUGGACAGAGCGGACCGCCGCCCACAGGCUGCUCCUGCUGGCUCGCUGCAGUGCGCCACGGUGGACGGACGGGAGGACGUCUGAACAGCGGUUGUUUGCUGUCCGCCACUUAAAACGGUGACGACAUCAAUAUGAACAUUCAAACAUGAAGAAGGCCUUUGUGUCCUAUUCUCUGAUUUGACUGAAGUUUGCAGCACAAACCAGCAGAGAGUUGUGCUGAUGUAUGAGAGCAAUGUUCAUAGGAAAUGCAAAUUAUUUGAUUUAAUUUGCUUUUUGUCCUUAACGUGUGAGCUGUCCCUCUCGCAUGCAUUUAGUUAUUUCCAAUAUUUCUAUUUCAUCUGGGAAAUUAACAGUAGCCAAAAGCUUUCAGCCUCAACCAAAUGAAGUGAAGUCUAACGACAAAACCAAUGGGAGCCUGUUUUCCUUCCCUUAUGAAUUAAAAAGUGGGAAAAGUUAGAUUUAACAACAUUUUGAGAGAGAGGUUUGUUCCCUGUCUUCUGAACUAUGUUUUUUUUUAAUACACCAUAUACCUGAUUUUCUUAUGUGUAAAGCUGCGUAUUGUACACAUGUUUGCUUUUCACCUUUCUCUGUGUUUGGAUGCGCAGCUCUUUCCGUCCUGCUGAGGCGUCUCCCUUCUGCUGUACAGCUGCAGGAUCUGACACCGCAUGUCUCCCAGUUCUUCCUGCAGGACGACAAGACGCAAAGGAAGUGCAACCAAACUUCUCCCAUGAGAUCCUCUCACCAGUGAAGCCGACCUGAGGCCUCACCCUCAGAGACUCGACCAGCGCCUCCAGCCGGAGAGCUUUCUUCUGGCAGCUCCUCCUGUUCUCCUGCAGCUCCUCCCUCAGGUACGCGUCUCCGUGUUGGAUCUGGCUGAGCUCCUGCAGGGCGCUGGUGAACCCCGUCUUCAGCUCCGAGACCAUGCAUUGCAACUGAGGGGACAGCAAUCAGGUUCAUUAACAAGACCACGACAUUGUUGCCGUUUGCACGUCUAGAGGGAUCCUAUGAAUAUGAGAGAUGUCACGUUAAGGUCGAGACUAUUUGGAUUCUGGAUUGCAGGGUUGUGCUUCAGAGGUGAAGCUUAAUACUUUUGGGAUGAUAAGAGCUGUUAAAACACGUUAACUGUCCCUUUAACAGAGCCGGGCUGCUCGAUGAGGGAAGGGUACCUUGGAGAUUUCAGUGACGAGCUCGGCCUCUUGAGGCUUCAUGACCUGAUCAGAGAGACACACAAACAAGGCUGUUUGCAAACACCCAGUCGAUAAUAUCUUCACAAACAGUUACGUGUUUGUGUAUGAACUGUGACGAGCACAGCUGAGUUUGUUAUUGACCCCAUGCAGAGAAAAAAGAUCAGCAUUCACACAACGAGACGAAGCAGGAAGGUCACCGCGUCUUUGUUCUGUGAAUCUUUCACAUCUUCUUGACCAAAUGCACCGUAUUUGUUCUUCCUAAAGCCUUUACGAUUAGCUACUAGACGAGAUGCAAUAACAUUCUUAACCAGAUGUAAUGUUUUUUGUGUCGUAUUCUUGUUUGUUCGUGGUACCUGCUCAGAUGUUGCCCCUGCCAGCAGCCCCUCUGCUAAGGAAGUGGCAAGCCAGCCAAAGAGCUCAGCCCUGCAGGGGAAAAGGCUGCAGCAGCCAAGAUCCCUCCUUUUAAGUGUGCUGACAGAAGGCACGGAUCAGCAAAAGGAUAAAUAAAAUAAAACAAUGUGUGAGGGCUUUUAAACUACAAAUAUAUAUUAUAUAAAAUCAGUUCAGAAGCCACUAAAAGCAGUUAUCUGUAGAGCAUUUUAUAACACUCAAGAAAUGAGAAUAAAUCGCAUCUCUAUUGUAGAUUAUGAAAUACAUUUUUGAUCAUAAGCAUUAAUAUCUCCAAAGUAAAAUCAUGUUUUCAGCGGUUUCCUGAUUAUGAAAGAGUUAAACACAAAACAUGAAAAGCCUUGAGUGCUGUAGCAAAGGGAGGAAAAGGAAGGACACUUACAUUACAUUGCAUUACAUUACAGGUCAUUUAGCUGACGCUUUUAUCCAAAGCGACUUGCAUUACAUUUUUAACCCGUGGCUUUUUACAUUUUUGCCUGGGGAGCAAUUAGGGGUUAGGCGACUUGCUCAGGGACACUGAACCACCAACCAAUCUCUACCCCUGCGCCACGA
Molecule: long non-coding RNA, 3398 nt
Organism: Gasterosteus aculeatus aculeatus (three-spined stickleback)
Lineage: Eukaryota; Metazoa; Chordata; Actinopteri; Perciformes; Gasterosteidae
Source: Ensembl